ACCUCUUGAGUCUGAUUAUGUACAUUUGCCUUCCAAGCAGAAAGAUUAAGAAAAACUUAAAGGAGGUA
Molecule: transfer RNA, 68 nt
Filed under: Cerithium coralium
Lineage: Eukaryota; Metazoa; Mollusca; Gastropoda; Cerithiidae
Description: tRNA-Gly
Source: RNAcentral